GUUGGAAUAUCUGUUUUACAGAUAUGAUCCACUGAACGGGUUUGUACUUGCUUGAUCAACACGACGAGUGUCACAUGUGAAGCAGAAUCUGCUUACCCUUCCGGAGCACAUGGGAUCGCCCCCGGUUUUGGUGGGGUUCGUGUUGCUCAGUCUUUAGUUUUCUUUGUUGUGUUUUGUGUGUACAGCUUUUUUGUCUUUUCUAUUUUUGCAAUGACGUAUGUUUAUGUUUAUUAUUUUUAUUUUAUUUUUCUACUCCUACUUUUAAGAUAGCAGAAAUGUUUUAUGAGAUUCUUCAUGAUGAUACCUAGCAAUUAGUCACUUUACCUUGCUCUUGGGUAAAACAAAUCCGUCAAGAAAAAUAGAUGAAGCACCGAACAUUCAUCUUUAUGUGUUGGGGUGUUUUCUAAUCUCACUAAAAUAACAAUUUUUUUGUAAAUCUAAUGUAGUGUUUAUGUAUUUCCCUAAUUUUAUCGAAACAACCAUUUUUUUUUCACAAAAUAUUCAUUUCAAGAAUAUUUUAAUUGAACACUUAAAAUCCUUUCC
RNAcentral lists this long non-coding RNA (543 nucleotides) under Mytilus galloprovincialis (Mediterranean mussel). Lineage: Eukaryota; Metazoa; Mollusca; Bivalvia; Mytilida; Mytilidae. The record is from RNAcentral.